AACGAACGCUGGCGGCAUGCCUAACACAUGCAAGUCGAACGAGACCUUCGGGUCUAGUGGCGCACGGGUGCGUAACGCGUGGGAACCUGCCCUUAGGUUCGGAAUAACUCCCCGAAAGGGGUGCUAAUACCGGAUAAUGUCUUCGGACCAAAGAUUUAUCGCCUUUGGAUGGGCCCGCGUUGGAUUAGCUAGUUGGUAGGGUAAAAGCCUACCAAGGCGACGAUCCAUAGCUGGUCUGAGAGGAUGAUCAGCCACGCUGGGACUGAGACACGGCCCAGACCCCUCCGGGGGGCGGGAGUGGGGAAUAUUGGAAAAGGGGGGAAAGCCUAACCCAGCAAUGCCGGGUGAGUGAUGAAGGCCUUAGGGUUGUAAAGCUCUUUUACCCGGGAUGAAAAGGACAGGACCGGGAAAAAAAGCCCCGGCUAACUCCGU
RNAcentral lists this ribosomal RNA (432 nucleotides) under uncultured bacterium. RNAcentral's name for it is "partial 16S ribosomal RNA". It matches the Rfam family "Bacterial small subunit ribosomal RNA", at positions 29 to 506 of the family's 1533-position model. The record is from RNAcentral.